GCGGGUGUAACUCAAUGGUAGAGUGUCAGCCUUCCAAGCUGAUUACGUGGGUUCGAUUCCCAUCACCCGCU
Transfer RNA from Oxobacter pfennigii, 71 nucleotides. It matches the Rfam family "tRNA". Rfam says of the family: Transfer RNA (tRNA) molecules are approximately 80 nucleotides in length. Their secondary structure includes four short double-helical elements and three loops (D, anti-codon, and T loops). The record is from Rfam. Lineage: Bacteria; Bacillati; Bacillota; Clostridia; Eubacteriales; Clostridiaceae.